GGGGGUGUAGCUCAGUUGGUUAGAGCGCUUGCCUGUCACGCAAGAGGUCGCGGGUUCGAGUCCCGUCACUCCCGCCA
Molecule: transfer RNA, 77 nt
Filed under: Pseudomonadota bacterium
Lineage: Bacteria; Pseudomonadati; Pseudomonadota
Description: Proteobacteria bacterium (mine drainage metagenome) tRNA-Asp
Rfam family: tRNA
About the family: Transfer RNA (tRNA) molecules are approximately 80 nucleotides in length. Their secondary structure includes four short double-helical elements and three loops (D, anti-codon, and T loops). Further hydrogen bonds mediate the characteristic L-shaped molecular structure. tRNAs have two regions of fundamental functional importance: the anti-codon, which is responsible for specific mRNA codon recognition, and the 3' end, to which the tRNAs corresponding amino acid is attached (by aminoacyl-tRNA synthetases). tRNAs cope with the degeneracy of the genetic code in two manners: having more than one tRNA (with a specific anti-codon) for a particular amino acid; and 'wobble' base-pairing, i.e. permitting non-standard base-pairing at the 3rd anti-codon position.
Source: RNAcentral